AACAGGGUAGGCCACUUAAUUAAAAAAGAGAUGUAGGUGAGCUGGGACACCUGGGCUCCCUGCACACAAGCCCCAAACCGUGCAGCCUUGCCGUGCCUGGCGUAAAGUGGGAAAACCUGUGAUUAAUAGCAGACAGCAGCAGACGUAGUAUGUGCUUGCUGUCUUAUUGCUUUCAUUUCUCAGGAAACUGGUCUCAAGCCUUUCUGCUGGAUCUUCUUUAAUCUGCAGGAGGUCUAUGCAGCUCUGAGGAACUUCAGUGCAUCGCUUCAUCAGGCCGUUAUGGCAACCUCAUCCUCCUCCUGUGAGCAUCCAUGGUGGUGUGGUCCUUGGCUGAUGGGGAAGGAGAGCGUGUCUAUGGGUCCAAGUCCACCAGGGGAGGUUGCGCAUGGAGAGACGGCAGGAUGUGAUCAUGCCCCAACCAGCUCUUCCCUCCCACAGCCUGGGCAGGAGGUUGGGAGCAGGACAGUGGAAAUGGGAAGUCUGCAGCAGCAACCAGGGCCUCCAGCGCUGCGUCUGCUGAGGCGGCACAGACCCCACCGACACAUCGCUCUCCUCCCCAGCCUGCAGACGGGUUGCUGCAGAAGUCAAGCCGGGUGCAUUUCAUCUGAGCUGGUUCAUGUGAGUCACUGUUUGGAAAACACAGCGGGGUAAGAGCCUCUCCAGAGAUGCUUCUGGAUGCUUCGCGGCAGCUAAGAAACCUCUAACCAUUUCCAAGAUCAGUUCUCCCAAUAAUAUUCAAAGAGCCUCUCAUUUACGUGCUUUAACCUUGUCUGUUUGAGAGCCAAGGUCACACAGGGAAAAGCUUGUGCAGCAUAACAGCACGAGAGGAUAAAGGCAGAAAAGACACGCAGGAUAACUCUGUCUUGGGCAGUUAUUAACAUUUCCAGCAAUAGACCUUCAAGUGCUCUUUUUAUACAUAGCAAUUAGUUAAACCUCGUAGUUAACUGACACGACUCCCAACUGCAUCAGACAACUAAGCCUUCAGGUGAGAGUGCAGCAGCCGUAAGCACAGCACACAUGCUUUUGCACAGAAAUACUCAGCUGUUUCUGUAAAUUUGAGUCCCCUUUCCUCCAUCAGCCUCCCAGCCGACCAAGAGUGUCAGUGCAGUGACACUGGGUAAGGAUUUAUUUCACGAAGACCAGGUAGCCAGCAGCCAAACCAGCUGAGCUCGGCAGCAUCGCGAUGGGGUUUUGACUCCGCGGCAGGGCUGGAGUUAUCGGUGGCUCUCCUCAAAACGUUUGUUCACGCACGAGCAAAAUAACUGAAAUCGUUCUGUUUGUUUUCCUUGCUAUUUGCUGCCAAUUAGGGAUUAAUAAAUAAUUGUCAUCUUAACGAGAGGGUGACCGGGUGC
Long non-coding RNA from Dromaius novaehollandiae (emu), 1352 nucleotides. RefSeq lists it as uncharacterized. The record is from RefSeq and is a predicted model, not a curated record. The transcript is spliced from 3 exons. Lineage: Eukaryota; Metazoa; Chordata; Aves; Casuariiformes; Dromaiidae.